GUAAGUUUUUGAUUCGCAACGUAGUUCUUUUUUCUCAUGGAUAUUGUCUUUUUCAGAACUCAGCUCGAGCCCAUUAUACUUUGAAAAUGCUCCAGGGUCGCCGCCACCGAUAUCUUACACGCCUGUACCAGGACCAACGCCUGAAU
Long non-coding RNA from Ornithodoros turicata, 146 nucleotides. RefSeq lists it as uncharacterized. The transcript is spliced from 3 exons. Lineage: Eukaryota; Metazoa; Arthropoda; Arachnida; Ixodida; Argasidae. The record is from RefSeq and is a predicted model, not a curated record.